Long non-coding RNA from Coturnix japonica (Japanese quail), 1007 nucleotides. The record is from Ensembl. NCBI's taxonomy places the organism in Eukaryota, Metazoa, Chordata, Aves, Galliformes, Phasianidae.
GGUCCAGAUUUGGGGCUUUUUGGGUCCAGAUUUGGGGUUUUUGGGUCCAAUUUGGGUCAGAUUUGGGGUUUUUUGGGUCCAGAUUUGGGUCAGAUUUGGGGUUUUUGGGUCCAAUUUGGGUCAGAUUUGGGGUUUUUUGGUCCAGAUUUGGGGUUUUUGGGUCCAAUUUGGGUCAGAUUUGGGGUAUUUUGGGUCAGAUUUGGGGUUUUUUGGGUCAAAUUUGGGUCUUUUGGGGUCCAAUUUGGGUCAGAUUUGGGGUUUUUUGGAUCAUAUUUGGGGUUUUGGGGGUCAAAUUUGGGGUUUUUGGGUCAGAUUUGGGUUUUUUGGGUCAGAUUUGGGGUUUUUUGGAUCAGAUUUGGGGUUUUUUGGGUCCAGAUUUGGGGUUUUUGGGUCAAAUUGGGUCAAAUUUGGGUUUUUUUGGUCCAUUUUGGGUCAGAUUUGGGGUUUUUUGGAUCAUAUUUGGGGUUUUUGGGUCCAGAUUUGGGGUUUUUGGGUCCAAUUUGGGUCAGAUUUGGGGCUUUUUGGGUCAGAUUUGGGGUUUUUUUGGGUCCAGAUUUGGGUUUUUUGGGUCCAAUUUGAGGCAGAUUUGGGGCUUUUUGGGUCCAGAUUUGGUGUUUUUGGGGUCAAAUUUUGGGGUUUUUUGGGUCAAAUUUGGGGUUUUUUGGGUCCAGAUUUGGGGUUUUUUGGGUCCAAUUUGGGUCAGAUUUGGGGUUUUUUGGAUCAUAUUUGGGGUUUUUUUGGGUCAAAUUGGGUCAGAUUUGGGGUUUUUUUGGGUCAGAUUUGGGUUUUUAGGGUCCAAAUUGGGUCAAAUUUGGGUUUUUUGGGGUCAAAUUGGGGCAGAUUUGGGGUUUUUUGGGUCAGAUUUGGGGUUUUUUAGGCUCCAAUUUGGGUCAAAUUUGGGGUUUUUGGGGUCAAAUUGGGUCAGAUUUGGGGUUUUUUUGGGUCAGAUUUGGGGUUUUUUGGAUCAUAUUUGGGGUUUUUUGGGUCCAAAUUGGGUCAAAUUUGGG